This 216-nucleotide long non-coding RNA is filed under the name Mytilus galloprovincialis (Mediterranean mussel). The record is from RNAcentral. Lineage: Eukaryota; Metazoa; Mollusca; Bivalvia; Mytilida; Mytilidae.
GAUACUUGUAACAUAUUGUAUUUGCUCAUUUUAAAAAGAUGACGUUUUGAUGACGUUGCAUGGCGACGUUUCAGUACAUUUUGCUUUUUCAGUAAACACUUCAUCUGUUGAUAAAUACUGUGAACGUUUUGUGCAUAUCUAAAUAGUUUUACCUAUGUUGAAAGAUGUGCUUAGUAUCAAAUCAUAAAAAUACAAAUUGUUUAGUCUCUAGGAAAU